Long non-coding RNA from Triplophysa dalaica, 453 nucleotides. RefSeq lists it as uncharacterized. The record is from RefSeq and is a predicted model, not a curated record. Lineage: Eukaryota; Metazoa; Chordata; Actinopteri; Cypriniformes; Nemacheilidae. The transcript has 3 exons.
UGACAUCCAUUUUUAGUGGUGUCCGAAUUCAAAGUGGACAUAUUUAUAAUGAUGAUGUUUGUCGAGUGCACAUUAUAAACGUUAUAAACGAUUCUCGUAGUGAUUUUAGAUCGAGCAGUACUUCCUACUCAUCAAAGAGCCGUAGUUCACGGAAGAGCUGUGAAUAAAACACAUAAUCGAAGCUUAAAGGAUAUUUGCAGUAUUUGUGCUCAAAUCCAAACCAUUUCAUAUUUCAGAAGUCUCAUCCCGAGGUCACCUGAGACCAAGAGAUGUUUGUUCUAGCUCCAGUUCACCCUGAUGCUCUUCUUUUUAAUAUUUAGAGGUCCAAGCAUGAAGUGCAGCAAUACUGUUGUAUCGGUGUUAUGCAACCGAGAUCAAAGAACUGUGAUACAGUCCUUGUCCCGCAGCCACCACCUAGUGGGACCUCCGAGAUAAUUUCCUGCACCCAAAAAA